RNAcentral lists this ribosomal RNA (498 nucleotides) under uncultured eukaryote. Its description in RNAcentral is "partial 18S ribosomal RNA". It matches the Rfam family "Eukaryotic small subunit ribosomal RNA", at positions 231 to 731 of the family's 1831-position model. The record is from RNAcentral.
UACAUAAUAUUUAUAGACAAUUAUACAGAGGAAGUAAUUCUUCUUGAAUAAUAAACCGAUCAAAUUUCUGCCCUAUCAUACUUUGGACGGUAAUGUAGUGGAUUACGGUGGUGAUGACGGGUAACGGAGAAUUAGGGUUUGAUUCCGGAGAGGGAGCAUGAGAAAUGGCUACCACUUCCAAGGAAGGCAGCAGGCGCGUAAAUUACCCAAUCCUAAAACAGGGAGGUAGUGACGAUAAAUAACAAUGAUUCAAUGAUAACAAAGUUGAAUUAAUUGGAAUGAGAACAAUAUAAAUCCCUUAUCGAGUAACAAUUUCAGGGCAAGUUCUGGUGCCAGCAGCCGCGGUAAUUCCAGCUAGAAAAAGCGUAUACGAAUAUUGUUGCAGUUAAAACGCUCGUAGUUGGAAUAAAACAUGGUUUUCUUAUUUUUUUUUAUUUUUAAAACGGUAAAAAAGUAUAGAAUAUCAUUUUUUUUAAUUUUUAUAUAUCUCCUAAAAAA